CCUACGGGAGGCUGCAGUGAGGAAUAUUGGUCAAUGGGCGCGAGCCUGAACCAGCCAAGUCGCGUGAAGGACGACUGCCCUAUGGGUUGUAAACCUCUUUUAUAAAGGAAUAAUGUGUGCCACGUGUGGCUUGUUGCCUGUACCUUAUGAAUAAGCAUCGGCUAACUCCGUGCCAGCAGCCGCGGUAAUACGGAGGAUGCGAGCGUUAUCCGGAUUUAUUGGGUUUAAAGGGGGCGUAGGUGGGUUGUUAAGUUAGUUGUUAAAGUUUGGGGCUUAAACGUAAAAUUGCAAUUGAUACUGGAAGUCUUGAGUUCAGAUGAGGUAGGCGGAAUACGUGAUGUAGCGGUGAAAUGCUUAGAUAUCACGUAGAACUCCGAUAGCGAAGGCAGCUUACUAAACUGCCACUGACGUUGAAGCACGAGAGUGUGGGUAGCAAACAGGAUUAGAUACCCUUGUAGUC
This 460-nucleotide ribosomal RNA is filed under the name uncultured bacterium. Its description in RNAcentral is "partial 16S ribosomal RNA". It matches the Rfam family "Bacterial small subunit ribosomal RNA", at positions 338 to 795 of the family's 1533-position model. The record is from RNAcentral.